This 465-nucleotide ribosomal RNA is filed under the name uncultured Klebsiella sp. RNAcentral's name for it is "bacterial SSU rRNA". It matches the Rfam family "Bacterial small subunit ribosomal RNA", at positions 338 to 795 of the family's 1533-position model. The record is from RNAcentral. Lineage: Bacteria; Pseudomonadati; Pseudomonadota; Gammaproteobacteria; Enterobacterales; Enterobacteriaceae.
CCUACGGGCGGCUGCAGUGGGGAAUAUUGCACAAUGGGCGCAAGCCUGAUGCAGCCAUGCCGCGUGUGUGAAGAAGGCCUUCGGGUUGUAAAGCACUUUCAGCGGGGAGGAAGGCGGUGAGGUUAAUAACCUCAUCGAUUGACGUUACCCGCAGAAGAAGCACCGGCUAACUCCGUGCCAGCAGCCGCGGUAAUACGGAGGGUGCAAGCGUUAAUCGGAAUUACUGGGCGUAAAGCGCACGCAGGCGGUCUGUCAAGUCGGAUGUGAAAUCCCCGGGCUCAACCUGGGAACUGCAUUCGAAACUGGCAGGCGAGAGUCUUGUAGAGGGGGGUAGAAUUCCAGGUGUAGCGGUGAAAUGCGUAGAGAUCUGGAGGAAUACCGGUGGCGAAGGCGGCCCCCUGGACAAAGACUGACGCUCAGGUGCGAAAGCGUGGGGAGCAAACAGGAUUAGAUACCCGUGUAGUC